UGGCUCACGGAGCCGGAGCAUGAAAAAACAACAAAAACAACAAAAAAAUGGCUCGGCCAUUGCACUCCGGUUGUGCUGACCCCUGCGAAUUCCCCAAAUGUGGGAAUCUCGACUGCAUAAUUUAUGGUAGUGGGGGACUGCGUACGCGCUCUCCCCUG
Molecule: small nuclear RNA, 158 nt
Organism: Rhinichthys klamathensis goyatoka
Lineage: Eukaryota; Metazoa; Chordata; Actinopteri; Cypriniformes; Leuciscidae
Product: U1 spliceosomal RNA
Exons: 1
Source: RefSeq, a predicted model, not a curated record